RNAcentral lists this long non-coding RNA (241 nucleotides) under Gossypium barbadense (sea-island cotton). RNAcentral describes it as "long non-coding RNA (GBAR_LNC011816)". Lineage: Eukaryota; Viridiplantae; Streptophyta; Magnoliopsida; Malvales; Malvaceae. The record is from RNAcentral.
GAUUAAAGAGACAAUGUGUCACACCCCUAAAGCGGCAAAUCCAAAAAAGGUGAGUAAGGUAUAUAUGUAAACUGUUUUGGCACACUAUAGUAGUAUAAUCCGCCACAUUGACUUGCCAACGAAUUAGAGUAUUGGCCUAUACUAGCGUUUAAGUACUUGCUCGUUAGCGAUAUCUAAGAUUUAAUUAUAGAGUAUGUUCAAGUGAAGAAAGAAUAUGCCAUAGAUUUUUUGGCUGAACACG